GACGGGGGAUGCAAGCGUUAUCCGGAAUGAUUGGGCGUAAAGGGUCCGCAGGUGGCCCGGUCAGUCCGCUGUCAAAGCCUGGGGCUCAACCCUGGAGAGGCGGCGGAGACCACCGGGCUUGAGUCCGGUAGGGGCAGAGGGAAUUCCCGGUGGAGGCGGUAGAAAUGCGUAGAGAUCGGGAAGAACGCCAAGGGCGAAGGCACUCGUGCUAGGCCUGAUUUCGCCGACUGGACACUCAGGGACGAGAGCCAGGGGAGCGAAUGGGAUUAGAUAACCCCGG
RNAcentral lists this ribosomal RNA (280 nucleotides) under uncultured bacterium. Its description in RNAcentral is "partial 16S ribosomal RNA". It matches the Rfam family "Bacterial small subunit ribosomal RNA", at positions 524 to 790 of the family's 1533-position model. The record is from RNAcentral.